This 282-nucleotide ribosomal RNA is filed under the name Bacillus sp. CR2(Thailand). RNAcentral's name for it is "partial 16S ribosomal RNA". It matches the Rfam family "Bacterial small subunit ribosomal RNA", at positions 87 to 357 of the family's 1533-position model. Lineage: Bacteria; Bacillati; Bacillota; Bacilli; Caryophanales; Bacillaceae. The record is from RNAcentral.
UGAUGUUAGCGGCGGACGGGUGAGUACACGUGGGUAACCUGCCUGUAAGACUGGGAUAACUCCGGGAAACCGGGGCUAAUACCGGAUGGUUGUUUGAACCGCAUGGUUCAAACAUAAAAGGUGGCUUCGGCUACCACUUACAGAUGGACCCGCGGCGCAUUAGCUAGUUGGUGAGGUAACGGCUCACCAAGGCAACGAUGCGUAGCCGACCUGAGAGGGUGAUCGGCCACACUGGGACUGAGACACGGCCCAGACUCCUACGGGAGGCAGCAGUGGUCAUAG